Phyllostomus discolor (pale spear-nosed bat) is the source of this 421-nucleotide long non-coding RNA. RefSeq lists it as uncharacterized. The record is from RefSeq and is a predicted model, not a curated record. NCBI's taxonomy places the organism in Eukaryota, Metazoa, Chordata, Mammalia, Chiroptera, Phyllostomidae. The transcript has 3 exons.
AACUUUUUAAUCUACAGGCAAUAACAAUAAUUAUUUCUUUCUUCCCACUAAGAACCACAAAGUGCCUUAGCAGUGGAUUUCUAUAUUAGUAAAAACUAGUAUAGUUAUGAUACCAAAACCAAAGUGACAAAAUCAAAGUAGAUGCUUUAGAUUUCAUUUAAGUAAAAAAAAAUAUUUUGUGCUGCAAAUGAUACCAUUCAAAAAGUGAAAAGACAACCCAUAUAAUGGGAGAAAAUAUUUGCAAAUAUUUGCAUAUAACCGAUAGGGAUUUGUAUCCACAAUAUGUAAAGAACUCUUAUAACUCAAUAGUUGAAAAGCAAUAUAAAUGGGCAAAGAAUUUAAUAGAGAAUUCUCCAAAUAAGAUAUGCAAGUGGCCAAAAAGCACAUGAAAAUAUGGCCAAGUUGCCCUGGCUGGUGUAGC